AUUGAACGCUGGCGGCAGGCCUAACACAUGCAAGUCGAGCGGCUGCAGAGUGAUAGCUCCUGGAUUCGGCGGGGGACGGGCGGACAAUGGAGGGAAAUAUCGCAAGUAACGGUUGAUAGGGUGAGAACAUGGGGGCACUUACGCCAAUAGCGCAGACGACGUACGGGUGAGAUCAUGGGAUCUUCGGACAUUGCACGAGCCAAUGACGCGAGAUCGGAUUAGCUAGUUGGCGGGGUAAAGGCCCACCAAGGCGACGAUCCGUAACUGGUCUGAGAGGAUGAUCAGCCACACUGGAACUGAGACACGGUCCAGACUCCUACGGGAGGCAGCAGUGGGGAAUAUUGGACAAUGGGCGAAAGCCUGAUCCAGCCAUGCCGCGUGUGUGAAGAAGGUCUUCGGGUUGUAAAGCACUUUUGUUUGGGAAGAAGGGCAGUAAGUUAAUACCUUGCUGUUUUGACGGUACCCAAAGAAUAAGCACCGGCUAACUUCGUG
RNAcentral lists this ribosomal RNA (492 nucleotides) under uncultured bacterium. Its description in RNAcentral is "partial 16S ribosomal RNA". It matches the Rfam family "Bacterial small subunit ribosomal RNA", at positions 30 to 507 of the family's 1533-position model. The record is from RNAcentral.